This is a long non-coding RNA of Prosopis cineraria, 1871 nucleotides long. RefSeq lists it as uncharacterized. The transcript has 2 exons. Lineage: Eukaryota; Viridiplantae; Streptophyta; Magnoliopsida; Fabales; Fabaceae. The record is from RefSeq and is a predicted model, not a curated record.
CUCUCUCUCUCUCUCUCUCUCUCUCUCUCUCUCUCUCUCUCUCUCACCGUGUAUUGGAUGAUGAACGGAGAAGAGUAAUUGGGCCAAACCCCAAUCUUCUUAGAUCUCAAACCAUCUGAUUUCUGAUCGAUCUGAGUCGCCAUUUUUGUAUAUGGCAUUUGAUUUCUGGUUCGAUUAGGUUACAGGGGUGGUCCCUUUUUUUAUCAUUUGGGUUGGGGAAAAUUUUUUUUGGGAUGAAGGCAUUUUAGUCUUUUUAUAUUUUUAACAUUAAUAUUGAAUAAAAAUAAUCAGUCACUUCCAUGAGCAUAUCAAACACAUUUUUAAACACCAUGUUCAUCUCUACAUCCAUAUCUAUCUCUAUUUUCAUAUCCAUCUCCGCAUAGUUAUAAAUUUGGAGCCUCGAGUGAAGAGUAGAGAGCCAUUAGCUUACUCUUCUCAUAGUGCUUCAUAAAUCAAUUGCCUUAUUGAACAGGAAUGGAAAUGGUUCCAUUCAAUGUUAAUAAUGAAAGGCAUAAAUUUUUUUGUAUCAAAAGUGCUUGAAAUCAAAGUGCCUACUAUUCUCAUCUGCACGCAUGUUAGGUUUUAUUGAACCUUCUUGUCUAAGGGCCUGUUUGGUACUUAGUGGUAAUAAGAAUGGGAGUAGGAAUAGGAAAGCUCUCUUGCAUAAAUAUAAGAAGUUUGUGGAUCCAAGAGAGUUGAUUUGCCAUCUGCUAGACACAACUAAAAAUACUUUCUCUCACCUUUUCUCUUUACUCAAAUCUUUUUUCCAUGUACCAAACUCAGCUUAAAUGCCUCUCAUUUGCACUGUUAUAGGGCUUUAACGGGGGGAGAUAAUAGGUGGUAGUUUUAAUGGAUUUGGACCCUUCAAAAACAGGAAAUGUGUCAUUAGACAUGCACAUCUCUUCAGAUUGCAUACGGAUUUCUGUUCUUGUUGUGUUAGUGGAGAAACUUUAAAGUUGCUGUUUAUUUAACCUGUUCCUGUGUAAUAAUAUACUGGCUACCAUGUUGUAAGACAUCAUAGAAUAAAUUAUAUGAAAUAUUUGACACUCACCAAAUGCAUGCUUCGCUACGCAUAUAUGAUACUAUCAGUAAUUUUUUCUCUCUCUCAUGGUUAAAGAAGGAGAAUGUUGAAUUGUUGGCUGAACUUCUGUGUCUUGCAAAAUUAUUCUGAAAGUACUUCACCCUCACCCUAAUCUUAACUUCACUUUCCAGGAUUGAGUCUGAACUCAUGCUCAUUGUAUACCAAUUAGUAUUCUUAGUUAGACUUUCUUUUGCCCCCCUUUCUGGUGAUGUAUUGUUAGAUAUUGGUUGGUUCUUAUAAUUGAUCAAAUUAGUGCUAUUGAUUCAAUUUCCGAUCCCCCAUAUCACUUGUUAAGGUUUUCUCUCACUGCUUGCUUCAAACUAGUCAGGAGCCACGAUCAAUUGACAGGUAGCAUCUGCAAUGGCCUCAUACAAGAUUAAGCUGAUUGGUCCAGAUGGGAAAGAGAAUGAGCUUCCUCGACGUCGACGAUAGUUGCGUCCUCGAUUCUGCAGAGUGCUGGAAUUGAAAUCCCCUAUUCAUGCUUUACCCGUGCUGGCAAAAUAUUGUCUUUCUAGUUCAGUGGAUCGAUCGGAUGGCUCAUUCCUCCACGGUAUGAGACGGGAAGCAUCUGAGUUUGCCAGGAAGUGAGAUGUUUCUUUUUGAUGACUUGUGUCAUUACUCAUGUAGCCAACUUCACUUAUUGAGAUAAAGGUUUGUUGUUGUUGUUGUUGUUGUUGUUUUCUGUGUCAUUACUCUUGUGUCAUUACAAACUAAAUUAUUACAUUUGUACUGAGAUCGCUUGGCUUCAAUUUGAUUUGGAUUUAUGCCUUGUAAAGGUUAUUUUGAGGUA